Molecule: long non-coding RNA, 1185 nt
Organism: Triticum aestivum (bread wheat)
Lineage: Eukaryota; Viridiplantae; Streptophyta; Magnoliopsida; Poales; Poaceae
Exons: 2
Source: RefSeq, a predicted model, not a curated record
CCUCUGGUGCAUUGGGCCUCGGUGAGCCGGCAGCCCAUUCGAAGGAGGGAGGCCUACGAGCGACCGCGCGAGGGUCCAUCCACCCUAAUCCAAUCCCGAUCGAAACCGCAUCGACUCCACUCCAGUCCCCAAUCCUGGUCGAGCAGCCGGUGCCGCCAGGAUGCGAUCGAGUCCAUCCGGUCUUUCCCGGCGACCGGAGGAGAGGAGCAGUCGGUGCGGCCGGUUCGAACCAUUGAAGACGGGGUGAGGGAUGGGAUCGAGUCCCCAGCGACCGGAGGAGCAGGAUCUGGGACGAGGCAACCAAUCCAGCGCGUGACAGAAUCACGAAUUCACGAUGCGUGUGAAGAAAGGUGGGGGCGAGGGAGAUAAUGGCAGACGCCUCGCCUUCUUGAAACUGCUCUGGAAAUUGCUCUGCUCUCUUUAAAGCUCGCAAUCAUGGCGUAUUAUUCAUUCACGGCUGGUAAAGUCGCAAACCUUUCCUGUGCCCAUUGGUACUAUAUAAUGUUUCCCUCUCUAGCUGUGUAUGCAGACCCUACUCAAGCAUCUACAUCUUGUUCAGCAACCGAUGCCCCGUCUGAUCGAAACGAGAGACGGACGGUCGCUCUGCUUGAAAAGAGAGAGACGGUCUCUGAGCGACGGCAUGCCUGGUUGCUGGUGCAGGCCGCUCGCCUGAUUUAGGGAAGGCGUCGCGGCUGUUCGGUGAAGCGGGCAGAUGAAGUUGAUGUGCUUUGUUCCUAAAAACAAUGCAUCAUCAGUUCCUGGAAGCGCUGAUCUGUGCCACUCACCGGCGCUCGGCGGUGAUUAAUGGACAGAAUCUCAAGCAGCUAUGGUUCUCGGCUAGGUGGCCCCUCUAUCUUCAUUUUAUUUUCCAUUACGAUCCCUUCUUUGACCCAGCAAUUUCGUUGUGCUAAUUUCUUUUCAAUCUCAAAUUUGUACAGUUGGUUUUCAUCCUGGUUCUUCAGCCAAAUUUUGAAGUUUUGCUCUCUUUUUUUGUUUGAGGAAAUUCUCACUUCAAAGCUACCAGAUUGUGCAUUGGUCUAGAAAUACAUAUUUAACUCGGUAAUGUGGAGUUCACUACUGUGGUACACUGUAAAUGGCAAGCUUUUACAUGAAGCACUUUUGAUGAUCCUAAGGAAUUGAUACAGAAAUGUAUAAUAUGAUAUUGAGGUUCAUUCUCUUCCUUUC